GUGGGGAAUAUUGGACAAUGGGCGAAAGCCUGAUCCAGCAAUGCCGCGUGAGUGAUGAAGGCCUUAGGGUUGUAAAGCUCUUUUACCCGGGAUGAUAAUGACAGUACCGGGAGAAUAAGCUCCGGCUAACUCCGUGCCAGCAGCCGCGGUAAUACGGAGGGAGCUAGCGUUGUUCGGAAUUACUGGGCGUAAAGCGCACGUAGGCGGCUUUGUAAGUUAGAGGUGAAAGCCUGGAGCUUAACUCCAGAACUGCCUUUAAGACUGCAUCGCUUGAAUCCAGGAGAGGUGAGUGGAAUUCCGAGUGUAGAGGUGAAAUUCGUAGAUAUUCGGAAGAACACCAGUGGCGAAGGCGGCUCACUGGACUGGUAUUGACGCUGAGGUGCGAAAGCGUGGGGAGCAAACAGGAUUAGAUACCCCUGUAGUCC
This 425-nucleotide ribosomal RNA is filed under the name uncultured bacterium. Its description in RNAcentral is "partial 16S ribosomal RNA". It matches the Rfam family "Bacterial small subunit ribosomal RNA", at positions 354 to 796 of the family's 1533-position model. The record is from RNAcentral.